UACAGAGGUCUCAAGCGUUGUUCGGAUUCAUUGGGCGUAAAGGGUGCGUAGGCGGCGCGGUAAGUCGGAUGUGAAAUCUCGGAGCUUAACUCCGAAACUGCAUUCGAUACUGCCGUGCUUGAGGACUGGAGAGGGGACUGGAAUUUACGGUGUAGCGGUGAAAUGCGUAGAUAUCGUAAGGAAGACCAGUGGCGAAGGCGGGUCUCUGGACAGUUCCUGACGCUGAGGCACGAAGGCCAGGGGAGCAAACGGG
This 253-nucleotide ribosomal RNA is filed under the name uncultured bacterium. Its description in RNAcentral is "partial 16S ribosomal RNA". It matches the Rfam family "Bacterial small subunit ribosomal RNA", at positions 524 to 776 of the family's 1533-position model. The record is from RNAcentral.